This 434-nucleotide unclassified non-coding RNA is filed under the name soil metagenome. RNAcentral's name for it is "partial contains 5.8S ribosomal RNA, internal transcribed spacer 2, and large subunit ribosomal RNA". The stretch from base 1 to 120 matches the Rfam family "5.8S ribosomal RNA", at positions 35 to 154 of the family's 154-position model. The record is from RNAcentral.
GAUGAAGAACGCAGCGAAAUGCGAUACGUAAUGUGAAUUGCAGAAUUCAGUGAACCAUCGAAUCUUUGAACGCAUAUUGCGCUCUUUGGUAUUCCGAAGAGCAUGCUUGUUUGAGUAUCAGUAAACACCUCAAAGCUUUUGGAUUUUUUAAUCGAAAAGCUUUGGACUUGAGCAAUCCCAACACCAAUCUUUUUGAGAUCGGUGGCGGGUUGCUUGAAAUGCAGGUGCAGCUGGACAUUCUCCUGAGCUAAAAGCAUAUUCAUUUAGUCCCGUCAAACGGAUUAUUACUUUUGCUGCAGCUAACAUAAAGGGAGUUUGACCGUAUUGGCUGACUGAUGCAGGAUUUCACAAGGGUCGGCAACGAUUCUUGUUAAACUCGAUCUCAAAUCAAGUAAGACUACCCGCUGAACUUAAGCAUAUCAAUAAGCGGAGGA